UGAGGAAUCUUGCGCAAUGGGGGCAACCCUGACGCAGCAACGCCGCGUGAGUGAGGAAGGUCUUCGGAUCGUAAAGCUCUGUCAGUUGGGAAGAAACGCAUGAGGGUGAAUAUCCCUCUUGCUUGACGGUACCAACAGAGGAAGCACCGGCUAACUCCGUGCCAGCAGCCGCGGUAAUACGGGGGGUGCAAGCGUUGUUCGGAAUUAUUGGGCGUAAAGAGCGUGUAGGCGGCCGAAUGUGUCAGAUGUGAAAGCCCUGGGCUUAACCCAGGAAGUGCAUUUGAAACUGUUCGGCUAGAGUAGGGGAGAGGGUAGUGGAAUUCCUGGUGUAGAGGUGAAAUUCGUAGAUAUCAGGAGGAACACCGGUGGCGAAGGCGACUUCCUGGCCCUAUACUGACGCUGAGACGCGAGAGCGUGGGUAGCAAACAGG
RNAcentral lists this ribosomal RNA (430 nucleotides) under uncultured bacterium. RNAcentral describes it as "bacterial SSU rRNA". It matches the Rfam family "Bacterial small subunit ribosomal RNA", at positions 355 to 776 of the family's 1533-position model. The record is from RNAcentral.